RNAcentral lists this unclassified non-coding RNA (236 nucleotides) under Hevea brasiliensis (rubber tree). Lineage: Eukaryota; Viridiplantae; Streptophyta; Magnoliopsida; Malpighiales; Euphorbiaceae. The record is from RNAcentral.
AACAAGUUGAGCUGCCAUGGCUGCACUCAACCCAGCAGCGGCAUUGGCAAUUGCUCCUGCGGUCCCCUCUGGAAACCCUAAUCGGAUCGUGGCAGUCCCCACGUUACUCUUGGUAAGCUCAAGCGCUGCCAUGUAGAGUGCUCUAGCCGGAAUUGUACCCAUCAAGAAAGUCCCAAAUCCUCGAUACAAAGCUCUAAAACCCUCAUGCCUAACGAUCCCAAAAGCGGUCUUCACGC